Molecule: ribosomal RNA, 465 nt
Filed under: uncultured bacterium
Lineage: Bacteria
Description: partial 16S ribosomal RNA
Rfam family: Bacterial small subunit ribosomal RNA
Source: RNAcentral
GACGAACGCUGGCGGCGUGCUUAACACAUGCAAGUCGAACGGAAAGGCCCCUUUGGGGGUACUCGAGUGGCGAACGGGUGAGUAACACGUGAGUAACCUGCCCUUGACUUCGGGAUAACUUCAGGAAACUGGGGCUAAUACCGGAUAGGAAUCCUUGCUGCAUGGUGGGGGUUGGAAAGCUUCGGCGGUUUUGGAUGGACUCGCGGCUUAUCAGCUUGUUGGUGGGGUAGUGGCUUACCAAGUCUUUGACGGGUAGCCGGCCUGAGAGGGCGACCGGCCACAUUGGGACUGAGAUACGGCCCAGACUCCUACGGGAGGCAGCAGUGGGGAAUAUUGCACAAUGGGCGGAAGCCUGAUGCAGCAACGCCGCGUGCGGGAUGACGGCCUUCGGGUUGUAAACCGCUUUCAGCAGGGGCGAAGCUUGUGGUGACGGUACCUGCAGAAGAAGCACCGGCUAACUACGUG